RNAcentral lists this ribosomal RNA (867 nucleotides) under Triticum aestivum (bread wheat). RNAcentral describes it as "partial small subunit ribosomal RNA". The record is from RNAcentral. Lineage: Eukaryota; Viridiplantae; Streptophyta; Magnoliopsida; Poales; Poaceae.
AUGUCCGGAUCCGCAUCAGGAGAAGGAAAUCACGACGGCGGCCAACUCUACGGCGAGGACGACACCGUCUUCUUCCAGAGUCCGGCGUGCGGCGGUGGGGACGAUGUUGGUGCAACCCCGUCGGCCUACUCCACCAUCACCGACUACCUGCACGGGCUCCUCGACCCAGCAGAGCUCGCGAGGCACCUGGACGCGCCCCCGUGCUUCCCAACGGCGAGCGAAGUGAUCGGCGCCGAAGCGGCCCCUUUCACGUCCAACUCGUCGACGUCGGGCGAGGCAGCGGACGAGCCCCGCGGGUGCAAGAGAGGCACGCCGGCGCCGGAGGAGGACGAGGACGGAUCGGCCGAUCAUGGCAGCUGCAGGAGCAACGAGAAGGAGAAAAAGAAGAAGGGGAAGGGGGAGAAGAAGGCGCACGGCUCCCGUGUGGCCUUUGCAACCAAGAGCGAGGUUGACCACCUCGACGAUGGCUACCGCUGGCGCAAGUACGGCCAGAAGGCCGUCAAGAACAGUUCCUUCCCAAGCGUGUGCAGGAGCUACUACCGGUGCACGGCCACACGGUGUGGGGUGAAGAAGCUGGUGGAGCGGUCGCAGCAAGACCCUUCCACGGUCGUCACCACCUACGAGGGCCGCCACGGGCACCCAAGCCCCGUCGCCACCCACCGUGGCCCACGGAUGCUAAUGGCCACCGGUGCCAACACUGCCUACGCGCUUGCCGCGCUUCAACAUCAGCAACAUUGCUUUUUUUCAGCUGGUGCUGACGUCUACGCUCCGUUGGUGGCACACCGAUUGUCGGAGCACGGUGGCAUGCAGUUCCAUGCCGAUCUUCUUCCCGAUGCCGUGAUGGGCUACCAGCAAGGGUAUCGUUAA